AACGAACGCUGGCGGCAUGCCUAAUACAUGCCAGUCGAACGAGAUCUUCGGAUCUAGUGGCGCACGGGUGCGUAACGCGUGGGAAUCUGCCCUUGGGUUCGGAAUAACUUCUGGAAACGGAAGCUAAUACCGGAUGAUGACGUAAGUCCAAAGAUUUAUCGCCCAAGGAUGAGCCCGCGUAGGAUUAGGUAGUUGGUGAGGUAAAGGCUCACCAAGCCGACGAUCCUUAGCUGGUCUGAGAGGAUGAUCAGCCACACUGGGACUGAGACACGGCCCAGACUCCUACGGGAGGCAGCAGUAGGGAAUAUUGGACAAUGGGCGAAAGCCUGAUCCAGCAAUGCCGCGUGAGUGAUGAAGGCCUUAGGGUUGUAAAGCUCUUUUACCCGGGAUGAUAAUGACAGUACCGGGAGAAUAAGCUCCGGCUAACUCCGUG
This 433-nucleotide ribosomal RNA is filed under the name uncultured bacterium. RNAcentral describes it as "partial 16S ribosomal RNA". It matches the Rfam family "Bacterial small subunit ribosomal RNA", at positions 29 to 507 of the family's 1533-position model. The record is from RNAcentral.